CCUACGGGAGGCAGCAGUGAGGAAUAUUGGUCAAUGGGCGGAAGCCUGAACCGGCCAAGUCGCGUGAGGGAUUAAGGCCCUGCGGGUCGUAAACCUCUUUUGCCGGGGAGCAGUGGUCCGGACGAGUCCGGGCCGGGAGAGUACCCGGAGAAAAAGCAUCGGCUAACUCCGUGCCAGCAGCCGCGGUAAUACGGAGGAUGCGAGCGUUAUCCGGAUUUAUUGGGUUUAAAGGGUGCGUAGGCGGGCAUUUAAGCCGGCGGUCAAAUGUCGGGGCUCAACCCCGGCCUGCCGUCGGAACUGGGUGCCUUGAGUGGGCGAGAAGUAUGCGGAAUGCGUGGUGUAGCGGUGAAAUGCAUAGAUAUCACGCAGAACCCCGAUUGCGAAGGCAGCAUACCGGCGCCCGACUGACGCUGAGGCACGAAAGUGCGGGUAUCGAACAGGAUUAGAUACCCCUGUAGUC
Molecule: ribosomal RNA, 460 nt
Filed under: uncultured bacterium
Lineage: Bacteria
Description: partial 16S ribosomal RNA
Rfam family: Bacterial small subunit ribosomal RNA
Source: RNAcentral